CCUACGGGAGGCUGCAGUGGGGAAUAUUGCACAAUGGGGGAAACCCUGAUGCAGCGACGCCGCGUGAAGGAAGAAGUAUUUCGGUAUGUAAACUUCUAUCAGCAGGGAAGAAAAUGACGGUACCUGACUAAGAAGCCCCGGCUAACUACGUGCCAGCAGCCGCGGUAAUACGUCGGGGGCAAGCGUUAUCCGGAUUUACUGGGUGGAAAGGGAGCGUAGGCGGUUUAGCAAGUCAGAAGUGAAAGCCCGGGGCUCAACUCCGGGACUGCUUUUGAAACUGUUGAACUAGAUGGCAGGAGAGGUAAGUGGAAUUCCUAGUGUAGCGGUGAAAUGCGUAGAUAUUAGGAGGAACACCAGUGGCGAAGGCGGCUUACUGGACUGUAAAUGACGCUGAGGCUCGAAAGCGUGGGGAGCAAACAGGAUUAGAUACCCGAGUAGUC
RNAcentral lists this ribosomal RNA (440 nucleotides) under uncultured bacterium. Its description in RNAcentral is "partial 16S ribosomal RNA". It matches the Rfam family "Bacterial small subunit ribosomal RNA", at positions 338 to 795 of the family's 1533-position model. The record is from RNAcentral.